Molecule: ribosomal RNA, 301 nt
Filed under: uncultured bacterium
Lineage: Bacteria
Description: partial 16S ribosomal RNA
Rfam family: Bacterial small subunit ribosomal RNA
Source: RNAcentral
CAGCCGCCGCGGUAAUACGAAGGGUGCAAGCGUUAAUCGGAAUUACUGGGCGUAAAGCGUGCGCAGGCGGUUUGUUAAGACGGAUGUGAAAUCCCCGGGCUUAACCUGGGAACUGCGCUUGUGACUGCACAGCUAGAGUAUGGCAGAGGGGGGUGGAAUUCCACGUGUAGCAGUGAAAUGCGUAGAGAUGUGGAGGAACACCGAUGGCGAAGGCAGCCCCCUGGGCCAAUACUGACGCUCAUGCACGAAAGCGUGGGGAGCAAACAGGAUUAGAUACCCGCGUAGUCCCUGUCUCUUAUAC